This 501-nucleotide ribosomal RNA is filed under the name uncultured bacterium. RNAcentral's name for it is "partial 16S ribosomal RNA". It matches the Rfam family "Bacterial small subunit ribosomal RNA", at positions 29 to 523 of the family's 1533-position model. The record is from RNAcentral.
AUUGAACGCUGGCGGCAUGCCUUACACAUGCAAGUCGAACGGCAGCACGGGUGCUUGCACCUGGUGGCGAGUGGCGAACGGGUGAGUAAUACAUCGGAACGUACCUUAUCGUGGGGGAUAACGCAGCGAAAGCUGUGCUAAUACCGCAUACGCCCUGAGGGGGAAAGCGGGGGAUCGCAAGACCUCGCGCGAUUAGAGCGGCCGAUGCCUGAUUAGCUAGUUGGUGGGGGAAAAGCCCACCAAGGCGACGAUCAGUAGCUGGUCUGAGAGGACGAUCAGCCAAACGGGGACUGAGACACGGCCCAGACUCCUACGGGAGGCAGCAGUGGGGAAUUUGGGACAAUGGGGGCAACCCUGAUCCAGCAAUGCCGCGUGAGUGAAGAAGGCCUUCGGGUUGUAAAGCUCUUUUGUCAGGGAAGAAACACCGGCUCUAACACAGUCCGGGAAUGACGGUACCUGAAGAAUAAGCACCGGCUAACUACGUGCCAGCCACCGCAGUAA